This 353-nucleotide long non-coding RNA is filed under the name Hordeum vulgare. RNAcentral's name for it is "long non-coding RNA (HVUL_LNC001289)". Lineage: Eukaryota; Viridiplantae; Streptophyta; Magnoliopsida; Poales; Poaceae. The record is from RNAcentral.
CUCUAAGGUUAGCGCUACGCACGGCCUCCAACAUGACUAUAAACACCAGAAACUAAUUGCAACUCCUGGACCGAGUACUAAGCGAUUAAUAAGUCGAGAGGGUCAAUUAAGUAUCCCAACGUGUGGUAGUAUCUAGUCUUGGAUUACAUACACGGAACUCAGUUCCUAAGGACGGUUCCAAUGAAACAACCCGCCAUGUACUCCUACAUAGCCUUUCACCGACACCUUUACCAAAUCAGGUUCAACACACAACCUUUACUUACUGAACACAUUCUCACAAUUCUUUUCAUCACCCAGAUGACAGACCAUACACAACUCUAAGCAUAGCGUGCAUAGCACGAUAAGGCACAUCA